Molecule: ribosomal RNA, 924 nt
Filed under: uncultured Bacteroidota bacterium
Lineage: Bacteria; Pseudomonadati; Bacteroidota
Description: bacterial SSU rRNA
Rfam family: Bacterial small subunit ribosomal RNA
Source: RNAcentral
GGAUCCAGACUUUGAUUAUGGCUCAGGAUGAACGCUAGCUGCAGGCUUAACACAUGCAAGUCGAGGGGAAACGACAUCGAAAGCUUGCUUUUGAUGGGCGUCGACCGGCGCACGGGUGAGUAACGCGUAUCCAACCUGCCCAUCACUUGGGGAUACCCUUGCGAAAGUAAGACUAAUACCCAAUGACAUCCAUAGAAGACAUCUGAAAUGGAUUAAAGAUUUAUCGGUGAUGGAUGGGGAUGCGUCUGAUUAGCUUGUUGGCGGGGUAACGGCCCACCAAGGCGACGAUCAGUAGGGGUUCUGAGAGGAAGGUCCCCCACAUUGGAACUGAGACACGGUUCAAACUCCUACGGGAGGCAGCAGUGAGGAAUAUUGGUCAAUGGGCGAGAGCCUGAACCAGCCAAGUAGCGUGCAGGAUGACGGCCCUAUGGGUUGUAAACUGCUUUUAUAAGGGAAUAAAGUGAGUCUCGUGAGACUUUUUGCAUGUACCUUAUGAAUAAGGACCGGCUAAUUCCGUGCCAGCAGCCGCGGUAAUACGGAAGGUCCGGGCGUUAUCCGGAUUUAUUGGGUUUAAAGGGAGCGUAGGCCGGAGAUUAAGCGUGUUGUGAAAUGUAGAGGCUCAACCUCUGCACUGCAGCGCGAACUGGUCUUCUUGAGUACGCACAACGUGGGCGGAAUUCGUGGUGUAGCGGUGAAAUGCUUAGAUAUCACGAAGAACUCCGAUUGCGAGGGCAGCUCACGGGAGCGCAACUGACGCUGAAGCUCGAAAGUGCGGGUAUCGAACAGGAUUAGAUACCCUGGUAGUCCGCACGGUAAACGAUGGAUGCCCGCUGUUGGCCUGAAUAGGUCAGCGGCCAAGCGAAAGCAUUAAGCAUCCCACCUGGGGAGUACGCCGGCAACGGUGCAACUCAAAUGAAUUGACGG